AUCUAUGGUCAUGCCACCCUCAACAAGCCUGAUGUCUAAUCUCAUGAAGCUAAGCAGGGUCGGGAUUGGUUAGUACUUGGAUGAGAGACCACCUAGGAAUACCAGGUGCUGUAGGCA
RNAcentral lists this ribosomal RNA (117 nucleotides) under Pteropus alecto (black flying fox). RNAcentral also lists the same sequence under 1 other name. The record is from RNAcentral. Lineage: Eukaryota; Metazoa; Chordata; Mammalia; Chiroptera; Pteropodidae.